Molecule: long non-coding RNA, 721 nt
Filed under: Mus caroli (Ryukyu mouse)
Lineage: Eukaryota; Metazoa; Chordata; Mammalia; Rodentia; Muridae
Description: lncRNA (MGP_CAROLIEiJ_G0004269.1)
Source: RNAcentral
GAGCCCGUGCCUUCCGGCCUUUCUCCCGUUCCGAUGCAGCACGCCCGCCUCACAAUGAAUACAUUUUUGCCUUCGAGCCUGGGUCUAACCCUCCUCGGAGCUCAAGCCCACAUGUCAGCGGCCACAACUCUUCCUGCCCUCGUCCCUCGCCCAUAGAGGGCAAGGAAGUGAGGUGGGGAACGAGCGCUGAGCAAGGCGAAGGCGCUUACCUGGAAAUUAAAAGUCAGAGGACGGAAGAGACGACGAGCUCGAAGGAACCGGGAGAACAGAGAGACUGCGGCGCGGGAAGACGCCUGAUAAAGCGACUGAACUUAAAGAAAUCCUCCCUGCCUUAUCAAGAGCAGUCCUAUAGAGGGGAAUAAAGUGGCAUGGAACUGUGAUAUACUGCCAAGAGGUACAGGAACAGGCCUUCCUAGAAGUGGAUCCACACCUACACUACUGUGUAGGCUGACACCUGGAUGGAUGGUAUAUGAAUGCUAUGAAUCAGAGUUACCUAGCUAGGCCAAUCCCAGAACGCCGACCCUCUAAAACCACAGAUGUUUGUUUUGUCUUGAGACAAGGUCUGACUGUGAAACUCAAUUUGUGAAUUGGUGCUUAGUUCCCUUGCCCCUUGAGCCUCACACAGGCUAGAACUUAAUGCAUGCAGCAGCAUGCCUGAUAUACUCAUUAAGCUUUGUGCUAAUUUGAUAUCAAUAGAUACCUAAUACAUCUUCCCAGCAAA